RNAcentral lists this ribosomal RNA (493 nucleotides) under uncultured bacterium. RNAcentral describes it as "partial 16S ribosomal RNA". It matches the Rfam family "Bacterial small subunit ribosomal RNA", at positions 30 to 523 of the family's 1533-position model. The record is from RNAcentral.
AUUGAACGCUGGUGGCAUGCCUUACACAUGCAAGUCGAACGGUAACAGGUCUUCGGAUGCUGACGAGUGGCGAACGGGUGAGUAAUACAUCGGAACGUGCCCGAUCGUGGGGGAUAACUACUCGAAAGAGUAGCUAAUACCGCAUACGAUCUACGGAUGAAAGCGGGGGAUCUUCGGACCUCGUGCGGACGGAGCGGCCGAUGGCAGAUUAGGUAGUUGGUGGGAUAAAAGCUUACCAAGCCGACGAUCUGUAGCUGGUCUGAGAGGACGACCAGUCACACUGGGACUGAGACACGGCCCAGACUCCUACGGGAGGCAGCAGUGGGGAAUAUUGGUCAAUGGGCGAAAGCCUGAACCAGCAAUGCCGCGUGGGUGAUGAAGGCCUUCGGGUUGUAAAGCCCUGUCAGUGGGAAAGAAAAAACCGGUUAAUACCCGGUCUUGACGGUACCCACAAAGGAAGCACCGGCUAACUCUGUGCCAGCCGCCGCGGUAA